AAAGAGUUAAUUAAUUAUAAAAGUUAUUGUGGCAAAAUUAUUUUAAAUAAUUAAUUAGAAAUGAAAUGUUAAUCUGUUUUUAAAUAUAUCUAGUUUUUCUAGAAAAAAAUUUAAUUUUAAACUUUUUUAAAAAUAAAUUAAUUAAUUAAUUUAUUUUUAAAAGAAAAAGUUUUAUAUUUUAAGGGAUAAGCUUUAAAUUAAAUAGUUAUAAUGAUUUUUUUUUGUUGAAAAUUUUAUGAUUUAAAUUAUCAAUAAAAUUUAAUUUAUUAUAAAUAAUUUCAUUUUAAUAAAAAUUUAAUUAAAAUUUAAUUUUUUAUGGGGGAAAAAAUUAAAAUAAAUAAAAUUUAGUUAUUAUGAUAAAAUUAGUAUAGUUUAAAAUUAUAAAAAAUAUUUAUUAAUUUAAAUUAAUUAAUAAAAAGGAAUUCGGCAAAUAUAUAUAUUCACUUGUUUAACAAAAACAUGUCUUUUUGAAUUUAAUUUAAAGUCUAAUCUGCCCACUGAUAAAUUAUUAAAGGGCUGCAGUAUAUUGACUGUACAAAGGUAGCAUAAUCAUUAGUCAUUUAAUUGAUGACUUGUAUGAAAGAUUGGAUGAAAUAUAAACUGUCUCUUUAUUAAUUUAUAGAAUUUAAUUUUUUAAUCAAAAAGUUAAAAUAAUUUAAAAAGACGAGAAGACCCUAUAGAGUUUUAUAGGUGAUUUUAUUUAUAAAUGUUUAUAAAUAAAAAGUUUAAAUAAAAUUUUUUAUUUUAUUGGGGUGAUAAAAAAAUAUGUUGAACUUUUUUUAAUAUUAAACAUAAAUAAGUGAAAUAUUGAUCCAGUUUUAUUGAUUAUAAGAAAAAAUUACCUUAGGGAUAACAGCGUAAUUUUUUUUUUUAGUUCAUAUAAGAAAAAAAGUUUGCGACCUCGAUGUUGGAUUAAGAUAAAAUUUAAAUGCAAAAGUUUAAAAUUUUG
RNAcentral lists this ribosomal RNA (949 nucleotides) under Dysstroma korbi. Its description in RNAcentral is "partial 16S rRNA". The record is from RNAcentral. Lineage: Eukaryota; Metazoa; Arthropoda; Insecta; Lepidoptera; Geometridae.